CAUUAGCUAGUAGGUGAGGUAAGAGCUCACCUAGGCGACGAUGUGUAGCCGGUCUGAGAGGAUGAACGGCCACAAUGGAACUGAGACACGGUCCAUACUCCUACGGGAGGCAGCAGUGGGGAAUAUUGCACAAUGGGGGAAACCCUGAUGCAGCAACGCCGCGUGAGUGAAGAAGGUUUUCGGAUUGUAAAGCUCUGUUAGCAGGGAAGAGGAAGGACGGUACCUGCAGAGGAAGCCACGGCUAACUACGUGCCAGCAGCCGCGGUAAUACGUAGGUGGCAAGCGUUGUUCGGAAUAACUGGGCGUAAAGGAUGCGUAGGCGGUUGAGUAAGUUAUGUGUUAAAUAUAUAGGCUUAACCUGUAGAAAGCACAUAAAACUGCUUAACUAGAGUGCAGGAGAGGUAAGUGGAAUUCCUAGUGUGGCGGUGAAAUGCGUAGAGAUUAGGAAGAACACCAGUGGCGAAGGCGACUUACUGGACUGUAACUGACGCUGAGGCAUGAGAGCAUGGGGAGCAAACAGGAUUAGAUACCCUGGUAGUCCAUGCUGUAAACGAUGGGUACUAGGUGUGGGUUGUGAAUAACAAUCCGUGCCGUCGCAAACGCAAU
Molecule: ribosomal RNA, 606 nt
Filed under: uncultured bacterium
Lineage: Bacteria
Description: bacterial SSU rRNA
Rfam family: Bacterial small subunit ribosomal RNA
Source: RNAcentral